This 347-nucleotide ribosomal RNA is filed under the name uncultured eukaryote. RNAcentral's name for it is "SSU rRNA". It matches the Rfam family "Eukaryotic small subunit ribosomal RNA", at positions 594 to 945 of the family's 1831-position model. The record is from RNAcentral.
AUAGCGUAUAUUAAAGUUGUUGCAGUUAAAAAGCUCGUAGUUGAAUUUCGGGUUUGAUUAGGUGGUCUUUACGUAUGUAAUGUACUACUUUGAUCGAAUCUUUCCUUCUAGCGAACUAUAGUGUUAUUAAUUUAAUGCUAUAGGGAACUAGGACUUUUACUUUGAAAAAAUUAGAGUGUUUAAAGCAGGCUUACGCUUGAAUACAUUAGCAUGGAAUAAUAGAAUAGGACUUUGGUUCUAUUUUGUUGGUUUCUAGGACCGAAGUAAUGAUUAAUAGGGAUAGUUGGGGGCAUUAGUAUUUAAUUGUCAGAGGUGAAAUUCUUGGAUUUAUUAAAGACUAACUUCUG